UACGAAGGGGGCUAGCGUUGUUCGGAAUUACUGGGCGUAAAGCGCACGUAGGCGGAUAUUUAAGUCAGGGGUGAAAUCCCGGGGGCUCAACCUCGGAACUGCCUUUGAUACUGGGUAUCUUGAGUAUGGAAGAGGUAAGUGGAAUUGCGAGUGUAGAGGUGAAAUUCGUAGAUAUUCGCAGGAACACCAGUGGCGAAGGCGGCUUACUGGUCCAUUACUGGACGCUGAGGUGCGAAAGCGAUGGGGAGCAAACUAGGG
This 258-nucleotide ribosomal RNA is filed under the name uncultured bacterium. RNAcentral's name for it is "partial 16S ribosomal RNA". It matches the Rfam family "Bacterial small subunit ribosomal RNA", at positions 524 to 778 of the family's 1533-position model. The record is from RNAcentral.